RNAcentral lists this ribosomal RNA (800 nucleotides) under uncultured bacterium. RNAcentral describes it as "bacterial SSU rRNA". It matches the Rfam family "Bacterial small subunit ribosomal RNA", at positions 187 to 965 of the family's 1533-position model. The record is from RNAcentral.
UGUGGUUUUGGGGAUGGAAGGUGACCUAUCCAUGGAAGUUGCCGUUCGGGGAGGGGCUCGCGUACCAUUAGCUUGUUGGUGGGGUAAUGGCCUACCAAGGCUGCGAUGGUUAGCUGGUCUGAGAGGAUGAUCAGCCACACUGGAACUGGAACACGGUCCAGACUCCUACGGGAGGCAGCAGUGAGGAAUUUUGCGCAAUGGGGGAAACCCUGACGCAGCAACGCCGUGUGAGUGAAGAAGGCUUUCGGGUCGUAAAGCUCUGUCAAGUGGGAAAAAAUGUCUCCGAUGAAUAGUCGGAGGAGUUGAUGGUACCACUAGAGGAAGCACCGGCUAACUCCGUGCCAGCAGCCGCGGUAAUACGGAGGGUGCGAGCGUUGUUCGGAAUUAUUGGGCGUAAAGCGCGUGCAGGCGGUUUGGUAAGUCAGAUGUGAAAGCCCUGGGCUCAACCCAGGAAGUGCAUUUGAAACUACCCUACUUGAGUAUGGGAGAGGAGAGUGGAAUUCCCAGUGUAGAGGUGAAAUUCAUAGAUAUUGGGAGGAACACCCGUGGCGAAGGCGACUCUCUGGACCAAUACUGACGCUGAGACGCGAAAGCGUGGGGAGCAAACAGGAUUAGAUACCCUGGUAGUCCACGCCGUAAACGAUGAGAAAUAGGUGUAGCGGGUAUUGACCCCUGCUGUGCCGGAGCUAACGCAUUAAGUUCUCCGCCUGGGGAGUACGGCCGCAAGGCUAUAACUCAAAGGAAUUGACGGGGGCCCGCACAAGCGGUGGAGCAUGUGGUUUAAUUCGACGCAACGCGAA